UAAGACUCUCUCUCACUAACUCUCAUUUCAAUAAUAUCGAUACGACUGCCAAAAUGUUAUAAAAGCAACACGGGGCGCAAUUAUCUAUUAUAGUAAAGACAGAGAUAGAUCGCUGUGAAUUGGCCAAAGGAGAACAUAAAAAGAAGAUUGAAAAGUGCUAGAUCUGAUUAAACUCUAACCCUUAUGGAUUAACAACUGGCACGUGCACGAUUCUUUAUGGAAACAGAUGCACGAAGGAGCUUAUAGAAACCAAUUUUCCUGGUUUUAAAAAAUGGUUGAAGAUAUCCAAUGCUGUUCAAAGUGUUUUACUCGCACAAGAGACAGAUCUAGACUGUAUUUUGGCAUAAAAGUUACUGCCAUAUAGCUAGAAAAAAAUUAGCCUAAACAUAGCAGCUUCACGUUUAGUGUUUAUGUUCCAUUGAUAUAGAAAUGCUAAAUGUAAGCCUUUUUUAACGUUAACCACAAAUACAUCAGAUAGCCUACUGUACAUCCCCAAACAUUUGCAUUACACAGAAACCGCGUAGUUUACACGUAUUUUUCCGAUCGCGCGCCAGCUACGAUCCUAUUGGACGACACGUUUUGCUUCCGCGCUUUGAUUGGUCCUUCACAUUUUGAAAUUAGAGCCGUGGGUUUGAGAUUUGUAAGAAAUAUAAAAGUCCGUAUUCUCGCUGUCGGUCGCGUCAUUGGUUCGUCCCCCGUCACUGAAGUCGUUUUGAACUCUGAACUCGACGGUCAGGUGGCAUCCGUUGUGUUUUAAGUGGCGUUUUCCGAAGCCUUCAUGAACACGACAGGAUACGCUUCGUUCACGGUGACAUCAACAUGCAACAUAUCUGUGACUGAGAAAAGGACCAAUCAGCUGCAAGCUUGAUUCUUGACUUCAGGUGACGGCCACGUCUUCGUAGUGGUAGCAGUUAUGGACGCCCCAUCCCUGAUUCCCGCACUGGCUCAGGUCCGUCUCUUCUCCUCUACAGUCCACGUUGUCCAGCAGGAUGGGCCCGGAGCCCUGGCCGAACUUGGAGCUAGUCCCCACGGCCACGGCCACCCCGCAGUCCAGCUGCCGGCAAACCACAAGUCCGCUGCGCUUUACGUUCAGAUGGCUCGCAGCUCGCAGGACGACUCUCCAGCUCUCGGAGGUAAACCUUGGCCGGGAAAAGAGAAAACCCGUAGUGUGUCCGGCUGAAGAGCCACGAGGUCUUUCAUCUCACUAACCUUGUGAGUCUAUAAGUACCUGGCCGCUCCGGUACGUAUUACGUAAAAAAAGAAAGGACAAGACAACAGCAUUGUAUGUUAAUGCGCUGACACCUAGUCCUGCCCGGUUCAUGUGAAUGAAGAGAGAAAGGGAGGAGGAAAGAAGACGGCACUGAAAGCCGGCCCUUCACAGCUAUCCCAGCAUCUCUGGUUUCAGCUCGCUCUCACCCGAAGCGCUCUGCAGGCCGAGUCAAAACACAGCUGAGACUCUUUGAUGGGGAUCAUCCGCCGUCUUUGUAGCGAGUCGGUCGAGGUCGCCGCUGAAGAAAAGAGAGCCACGGAACGGACAAUGAGAGAUUAACAUCUGUGCACAGCUGCGGUCGGCGACCGGUGCGUCCCCGUGACCCCGUGACCCCGCAGACUGUCUUACAGGAAGCUGAAGUGUCUCUGCUGGACCUUCACCAGAGGCUCCGGCUGCCGGAAAGUAGGUUACACAAAAAGAAGAAAACAAAAGGAAGGAGGAAGCAGACACAGCUGAUUCACGAAUCACAAAGUGCACCUGUGAUCUUGAGGAUCCUGAGCAGAUGCUUGUGGUUCACACAAAGAAAAGAAGGGACUCGAGUGUCCUGGAGGAUCACAGCCCGAAGCUGCGAGGUUUUGUUGGACUCCGGGAAUGAACCGAAGACGUCUCUGCUCCAGGUCGCCAUCCAGGAUCAUGUUGUAGCUUCUGGGCUUUAUGAAUCAAAAGUGAAGUAUCGAAACAACGCAAACAGAAGUGUUUGCGAGAUAGUAAAGUGUCAGGUAUUUUUCUUGUGAAGCUGAUAUGAUAUAUAAACUGAUAUAUUGAUCCCUAAAAGAACAAAUAGACAGCAAAAAUAAAAAGAAUAAUAGCAGGUUCCUUUCUUAACCUAAAAACCAUCAAAGAAUCGACUUCUGGUUUUUAUUUAAAAGGGGUUUGGGACAAAGUGGGCUUUUUUUUGUGAUCUUGCUCAUAUUAAAAAUAAUCUAAUACUAAAAGAGGUUUAAAUGUGGGUGAAUCCUUAUGUUUUUCCACAGAAGGACAGAGCAGCGUUGAAAUUAGACUGAAACCGCUGUCUUAAAUUAGAAAUGCGUCUUGUUUCCUUUCAUCAAAACUGUUGCACAGAACUCAUCUGUCCCAGCGCCGGAUAUUCAUAGAUAUUCAAGAUAGUCACUUUUUGCUUUUAAAGAGGAAAUUCUGAGGAAUAAAUAAUGUUGAAACUACAUUUUUAGCUUUUCUCCCUUCUAUUAAGACAACUGCAUUGAACAAGCGUGUGUGUAAAAUGUAUUAUAACACUCCAACCAGAGAAGAGCACAUUUAUUUCCCUUAAUUUGGCUUUUCUUUACAGCAGUUUCUAAAUUGUCUCUGUUAUGUAACGUGUCCUCCUAAAGCAGUACUGUACUGUAUACUG
Long non-coding RNA from Puntigrus tetrazona (Sumatra barb), 2618 nucleotides. RefSeq lists it as uncharacterized. NCBI's taxonomy places the organism in Eukaryota, Metazoa, Chordata, Actinopteri, Cypriniformes, Cyprinidae. The record is from RefSeq and is a predicted model, not a curated record. The transcript has 7 exons.